This 474-nucleotide ribosomal RNA is filed under the name uncultured Nitrososphaerota archaeon. RNAcentral describes it as "bacterial SSU rRNA". It matches the Rfam family "Archaeal small subunit ribosomal RNA", at positions 215 to 690 of the family's 1478-position model. Lineage: Archaea; Thermoproteati; Nitrososphaerota. The record is from RNAcentral.
CUGCGGCCUAUCAGCUUGUUGGUGAGGUAAUGGCCCACCAAGGCGAUUACAGGUACGGGCUCUGAGAGGAGAAGCCCGGAGAUGGGUACUGAGACACGGACCCAGGCCCUAUGGGGCGCAGCAGGCGAGAAAACUUUGCAAUGUGCGAAAGCACGACAAGGUUAGUCCGAGUGAUUUCUGCUAAAGAGAUCUUUUGCAAGUUCUAAAACCACUAGUGAAUAAGGGGUGGGCAAGUUCUGGUGUCAGCCGCCGCGGUAAAACCAGCACCUCGAGUGGUCAGGAGGAUUAUUGGGCCUAAAGCAUCCGUAGCCGGCUCUGUAAGUUUUCGGUUAAAUCCAUGCGCUCAACGCAUGGGCUGCCGAAAAUACUGCAGAGCUAGGGAGUGGGAGAGGUAGACGGUACUCGGUAGGAAGGGGUAAAAUCCUUUGAUCUAUCGAUGACCACCUGUGGCGAAGGCGGUCUACCAGAACACGU